Molecule: long non-coding RNA, 2875 nt
Organism: Bactrocera dorsalis (oriental fruit fly)
Lineage: Eukaryota; Metazoa; Arthropoda; Insecta; Diptera; Tephritidae
Exons: 3
Source: RefSeq, a predicted model, not a curated record
UCUAGGUGUGAAGUAAUAAGAAGAACACGUGACUCUAAUAAAAAGCAAAGAAAUAGAAUAAAUUAAAUUGUAUUUUAUUAUUUAAAAAAAAUCAUUUCAACAUGGUAGCAGAGCAAGGUUUAUAAUUUAAAGAAGAACAAAAGAAAAAAACUGAAUGUGAUAAGUUAAAUAAAGAUAUAAAAAUACGAUUAAGAUUUGAGGUUAACCUAAAGUGUUCAAAAAAACAUUUGUCGUGAAAAUACAUUGAAUUAUAUUGUUAGUAUCACCAAGAUGGCUAAACAAGCAAAGAUAGAAGACAUUUUGAUACCAAUUUUUGAUGGUGCAAACUAUUCAAGCUGGAAAUUAAGAUUGUUAACUUUGUUGGAAUACAAAGAGUGCAAUGAAGCCGUCAUGGUUAAAAAUGAAAAUGGCCUAACAGAAUGGAAAAAGAAGGAUUUAAAAGCAAGAACUAUUUUAAUGAGUACGAUCUCAGACAAACAAUUAGAAUAUGUUAAUGAAUGCACAACAGCAUAUGAUAUGAUAAAGAUGUUUGGCAAGAUGUAUUUAACACAGUCCACAGCUAUGCAAAUAAUAUGUAGAGGGAAAAUUGAAGAGAUUAAAUUGAACAAUUAUGAUACAGUAGAAGAUUUUUUCGUUGAGUUUGAGAAAACAAUUAAUGAGUAGCUGGAGGAAAAAUAGAUGAACAUGAAAAGUUGAGAUAUUUACUCAGAGCUCUUCCACCAAGCUACAGUUACAUUGGCGAUUUUCUGGAUGUAAUUCCAGAAGAACAACGAUCAGUUGAUUAUCUAUGUUCCAAAAUAAAAGAGAAAAAUAUGGUCACUAGCGAUUUGGACAAGAAAAACAAUGUGAGCACUUUUGCAACCAAACUCAGAUCCAAAUGCUUCACCUGUGGCAAGGCUGGUCAUCUCAGUAAGGACUGCUGGCACGGUCAGAAGUAUAAUCAAGGGCAAUAAGGUGUUAGAGAUCAGCGAGGACUACAGAGAGGUUUCAACAGAGGUGGAUUUAACAGAGUUUUUAUGUCUACCAUUGAAGAAAAUGUCAGUUCACACAAGUAUGAAGUGACUACAGAGCCUCAGAGUGCAAGUCUGGAAAGUAUGUCAAAAGUUUCUCUUGUAAAUUAUGCAAGCUUUGUAUCAUGCAAGGAAUAUGAGCCAAUACUGCAAAACUUUGAUCUGAUGCAUUAUCUUCAACAAUCUUCUGAACACACGGAAAAGACUCAAACAUUUUGUUUUGCAGAGAGGUCGACCACAAACGAAGUUUUGCGUGAAAUGCUUUUACUUUAUCUUUAGCUGUUAAAAUAUUUUCUUCUCUUUCUUGAAGGUUCUUGUUCAAAAAUGCUAAUUUCAAGAGCCAAAUAGGGUCAGAAAAACGUUCCAGAACUCUUGUCAAUACCUUUCCUUUAGCUUUAGCGCCAUCGUUUCAAAUAGUGAUACAUUUUUUCCAAUCAAUAUCGUAGUCGCAAGUGCUUUCUAAAAACAUAUCGUACACACAUUGGCCAGUAGUGUUUGCAGGAAGUGCUUUGCAAAAUAAGAUUUCUUCCGUAAUACUGUCAUCUGCUUCAAAGCGCACAAAUACUACAAACUGUGCACAGUCGGAAACAUCUGUAGAUUCAUCGAACUGCAAAGCAAAAUAUUGGCUAUUCUUUAAUUUUUCGACUACUUGUUCUUGAAUAUAGUAAUGUAAGCCUCCAUAUCGCCUGUAUAAUAUAUAGUAAUGUAAGAACCCAUUUACAUAUUUACAUUACCUUAUUAUAACUAAUACUACCUUAGUUUUAAGAGAAAUUAGAGUAAGAGAAGAAGUUAUUAGAAGAGUAAUUAGGAUUACGCUUUAAAAUAAGAUAGGAUAAGUAUAAAUGAUACAAAAAUAAAACAGUAGUUCUUUAACAGACACUAACGAAAGCGUUUGUUUAAUUCCGAGAACGUGAUUAUAUCCUUGGCCAUAUCGUUUAUUCUGCCUGAAAUAGUAUUGUCAGAAAGUGGUAUUUUUCUUAAUUUGUUUGCCUCCUGCUUACUGACCAUAAUUUCAAUCAUAUCGAGUGCCGCUGGCAAAGUAAGAUUUUCGGCAAUUGUAUGUGGUUUCCCUGCCUUAGCAACUCGAUAUGCGACUUUGUAGCUAAUAAUGUUGACUCGUUGACACUGGAUGCCUGAAAAUAGCUCACCGAAAUUAAGUAUAAUCAAAAGUUAUAUGCAAAUAACAAAGAAAUAAACACAAACAGUAAAAAUAUAGAAUAAAAAAACUAAAAAACACGCUUUGGCGAUAACGUAAACUAAAAAAUCAAAAAUAAUUGUUAAUAUGGAAAAUAAAUAAAUAAAGAAAAAUAGUAUUAUUGUGAAAAAAGGGUGGGACGCUUUUUAAGAGCUGAUUUAUAGUGCACCCCACGUUUUUUUCAUUAUUUUCUUACUUACCUGAAUUAUAGUAUUUUGCUGCUGACUAAGAGCUUUCAACUUUCGUUCAAAGAAAUCCGACGGCUUAUCAGCUUCUUUUUGAUGCUUGGUUGUGAGAUGCCGCAUAAGCUUUAACGGUUUCAUACUAUCACGUGAUAAAACAUCGCCGCAAAUUACACAUUGAGGUUUACUAUUUAUGACUGUGAACCAGUGUUUCAAAUAACUGUCAUCGUAAUGUCUAUUUUUUCGGAUUCGAUUCACCACCACCGCUGUUGAUACUCGUACCAGAUGUUGAAGGCUGCGAUCUUUUGAGAAAUUUAUCCAUUUUAUAAACGCGCAGAGCAAGCGAAAAAAACAAAAGAAUGACGUCUGAACUCAUCGGCGACUAUGCUUAACUGAGUGAUGAGAGUUGAAACAAAAGAACAUAGCUGUUGCUGUUACCGCAACGACAAUCAUGCCGUGCGGUGUGGCAACGUCGCGGUCGCCGACGC